CGGGUGAGUAACGCGUGGAUAACCUGCCUCACACUGGGGGAUAACAGUUAGAAAUGACUGCUAAUACCGCAUAAGCGCACAGUACCGCAUGGUACAGUGUGAAAAACUCCGGUGGUGUGAGAUGGAUCCGCGUCUGAUUAGCCAGUUGGCGGGGUAACGGCCUACCAAAGCGACGAUCAGUAGCCGACCUGAGAGGGUGACCGGCCACAUUGGGACUGAGACACGGCCCAA
This 231-nucleotide ribosomal RNA is filed under the name uncultured bacterium. RNAcentral's name for it is "partial 16S ribosomal RNA". It matches the Rfam family "Bacterial small subunit ribosomal RNA", at positions 103 to 334 of the family's 1533-position model. The record is from RNAcentral.